UAUGGGGAAAUUUCAUCAGGAAAGCCCAGCCCCUAGGAGAUCGUUUGGGGCCUUGUUUUGUUGUGCAUUUUUAGCCCGGCCGAGUAUGUGUUCGUAAAAUUAAGGAUGCCAUUAAAUGAAACUAUACACGUUUUUAAUUAUAAAUAUCAAAACACAGACUUGGCAAAAUCGAUUGCUACCCUCACGCGAAAAGCAAGGACAACACAUCGAGUAACGCGAUCACAGAAAGCACGCAGACGGCGACAGUGAACGGAUGGCUCGCUAAUUAGCCUAGCAUCCUCCAUGGGCAGUCCAGUCUCCACUGUCUGCCAGGCGAACGGCUUCGUCCACCAUGCGAAACGCCUGGCCGUCUGUAAGACGCAGCGAUCGUGUGGGCGUUCCGUCACAGUGUGGUCCAGUAAAAUCAUCCAAAGGCAGCACCAAGCUUAGCGUAGAAGACCAACAGGAAGGAAUGUGCGGUACAGCCAGGCCACCUGGCAGUGGACGAACGAAGGAAGCUGUGACGAGCCUGAAAUUCACAACUGCUCCACAUUCUCCUUACCGCCCAGAGUUGGCUCCAUCCGAUUUCUGGUUGUACCCAAAAUUGAAAGGGACACUGAACGGACGACAUCUUUCUUCGGAUGGCGAAGCUGAAGCUGAUGUGCGUGAAUGGAUCCAAAACCAACUAGAAACUUUCGUCAUGGAUGGAAUGAAAAAAUGGAUAGCAUGUUCAGAAAACCAGUUAGUAGUAACUUAGGACUUUGUCGAAAAAUAAGUCCACAAUGCUUAAGAGAAAUAAAUUUCCCUCAUUGUGAUAUCGUUUUUAUUAUUUUAUUAUUUAUAAUCAUCAAUCAACACUCG
Molecule: long non-coding RNA, 840 nt
Organism: Brienomyrus brachyistius
Lineage: Eukaryota; Metazoa; Chordata; Actinopteri; Osteoglossiformes; Mormyridae
Exons: 3
Source: RefSeq, a predicted model, not a curated record